Arabidopsis lyrata subsp. lyrata is the source of this 2153-nucleotide RNA transcript. It is a transcript of the gene named probable carboxylesterase 11, with no coding region annotated. The record is from RefSeq and is a predicted model, not a curated record. Lineage: Eukaryota; Viridiplantae; Streptophyta; Magnoliopsida; Brassicales; Brassicaceae. The transcript is spliced from 3 exons.
AGAUAGUCUCUUUCCCACCUAAGCUUCUUUGCUUUUUUUAAUUUUUGUUGUAUCCUUCUUGUCUCUAUUAACGCUCAUCUUCCACCAUCAAGAAGCUCCAAAUCGAAGCAAUCUUCACUCUCCACAAACCCUAAUUCGAUGCAAUUGCAAUUUUCCACUCUUCAUGUUCUUCUAUCCAUGGAUCCGUAAAUCUCUAUAACCUCACAAAAGGUGUUUUCCAAUGCCUAGCGUUGGUGUGAAGCUGUACAGUGUCUUCUUCAAGUUCCUUUUGAAACACCGUUUACAAAACCGAAUUCAAUCUUCCGGUGAUGAAUCUUCUUCGGAUCCAUUUGGUGUCACGACCCGACCCGAAGAAUCCGUCGCUGCUCCGAAUCCGUUAUUCACCGACGGUGUUGCGACCAAAGAUAUUCAUAUCGAUCCGUUAACUUCUUUAUCUGUACGGAUUUUUCUUCCGGAAUCUGCUCUUAAGCCGCUUGAACCGAGUACCUCCGCCGGUGUUUAUUCCGGUAAGGCUCGAAAUCUCAACAACCUCGCCGGAUCCGAUCUUCUUAUUAGGAGAAAUAGCUUAGGUUCGUCUAAUUCGUUGUUGUCUCAUAAGGUAGAAUCUAGAAGGAGUAGUUACGGUUUCACCACUGGUUCUUCUUCCCCUGAGGCAGGAUCCUCCGACGUGUAUAGAGGAUACUCGCCGUCGUCUUCCGGUGGAAACUCUAGAAAACUACCUGUGAUGCUGCAGUUUCAUGGUGGUGGUUGGGUAAGUGGAAGUAAUGACUCAGUGGCUAAUGAUUUUUUCUGUAGAAGAAUGGCGAAGCACUGUGAUAUCAUUGUUUUGGCAGUCGGGUACAGGCUUGCGCCUGAGAAUCGGUAUCCGGCUGCGUAUGAGGACGGGUUCAAGGUGUUGAAAUGGCUGGGGAAGCAGGCGAAUUUGGCUGAAUGUAAUAAGUCGAUGGGAAAUUCGCGGCGACCGGGAGGUGAAGUGAAGAAAUCAGAAGUGAAUAAGCAUAUUGUUGAUGCUUUUGGUGCUUCUUUGGUGGAGCCUUGGCUUGCAACUCAUGCUGAUCCUUCGAGAUGUGUGCUUCUUGGUGUGAGCUGUGGUGCCAAUAUAGCAGACUAUGUAGCCCGCAAAGCCAUUGAAGCUGGUCAAAAUCUAGAUCCUGUCAAGGUUGUGGCUCAAGUCUUAAUGUACCCGUUCUUCAUUGGUAGUGUUCCCACACAGUCUGAGAUCAAACAGGCAAAUUCCUACUUCUACGACAAACCUAUGUGCAUUCUCGCUUGGAAGCUUUUCUUACCCAAAGAAGAAUUCAGCCUAGACCACCCGGCAGCAAACCCCCUUGUUCCUGGCCGAGGUCCACCACUCAAGUUCAUGCCACCGACACUAACCAUUGUCGCAGAGCAUGACUGGAUGAGAGACCGAGCCAUUGCUUACUCAGAAGAGCUAAGGAAAGUUAAUGUAGAUGCUCCCGUGCUAGAGUAUAAAGAUGCGGUCCACGAGUUUGCUACCCUCGAUAUGCUUCUUAGGACUCCACAAGCUCAGGCUUGUGCAGAAGAUAUUGCAAUUUGGGCCAAGAAAUACAUCUCUCUUCGUGGUCACGAGUUCUCAUACUAGUGUUCACCAGAAUCUCCAGGUAGCAAAAAGAGGUGAAUCAAAAGUAGACCAGAUUUUUUCGGGUUUUGCUGUUUCUCCACGAAGCGAAAAGAGGUGAACCGAAAGUAAACUUUUCGGGUUUUGUUGUUUCUACCAGGAAGCAAAAAAAAGGCAGGCGAAGGGAGAGGUUCUUUUUCUCUCUGUGAGUAGAGUUAGUGUAGAGAGUUGUUACUUUGUGAUAUGGGUCGAGUGAAAGACUCAGGUUGUCUCGGGGUAUUUCCCAUAUAUUAAACUAUAUAUACGUCACUCUCGGUAUGAGUAUCUAAAAAAAUCACCCGAGACAAAGAGAGGCCGGCGCCGGCCAGAAAUAAUGGAAGAUCGGAGAAGUUGUGGCUGGAAAGACGCUUUGGAGGAAUCGCCUUUGAUAUCGCCAGAAACCGUUCCUUUCUUACAUUUUUACCUAUAAACGUUUUUAACAAUCUUUAAAAAAUAUUUAUGAUAUGGCAUAUAACAAUUUGGUAGAAUUUAUGUAAUAUUUCAAACAUUUGAGUUGAGUAUCACAAUUUUAAUA